This 57-nucleotide transfer RNA is filed under the name Oscillibacter sp. RNAcentral's name for it is "tRNA-Arg". It matches the Rfam family "tRNA", at positions 8 to 61 of the family's 71-position model. From Rfam's summary of the family: Transfer RNA (tRNA) molecules are approximately 80 nucleotides in length. Their secondary structure includes four short double-helical elements and three loops (D, anti-codon, and T loops). Lineage: Bacteria; Bacillati; Bacillota; Clostridia; Eubacteriales; Oscillospiraceae. The record is from RNAcentral.
UAGCUCAGCUGGAUAGAGCGUCUGGCUACGGACCAGAAGGCCGGGGGUUCGAAUCCC